AACGCACAUUGCGCCCUCUGGCAUUCCAGAGGGCAUGCCUGUUCGAGCGUCAUUACAACCCUCAAGCCUUGCUUGGUAUUGGGUGCUACCAGUAACUGGUACAUCUUAAAGUCAGUGGCGGUGCUAUUCAGCUUCAAGCGUAGUAAUGUUUCUCGCUUCUGGAGUCUGGGUGGUUCCUGCCAGCAACCCCAAUUUUCAGGUUGACCUCGGAUCAGGUAGGGAUACCCGCUGAACUUAA
RNAcentral lists this unclassified non-coding RNA (238 nucleotides) under uncultured fungus. Its description in RNAcentral is "sequence contains ITS2". The stretch from base 1 to 52 matches the Rfam family "5.8S ribosomal RNA", at positions 103 to 154 of the family's 154-position model. The record is from RNAcentral. Lineage: Eukaryota; Fungi.